CGAAAGCCUGACGGAGCAACGCCGCGUGAGGGAUGAAGGCCUCUGGGCUGUAAACCUCUUUUAUCAAGGAAGAAGAUCUGACGGUACUUGAUGAAUAAGCCACGGCUAAUUCCGUGCCAGCAGCCGCGGUAAUACGGGAGUGGCAAGCGUUAUCCGGAAUUAUUGGGCGUAAAGCGUCCGCAGGCGGUCUUGUAAGUCUGUCGUUAAAGCGUGGAGCUUAACUCCAUUUCGGCGGUGGAAACUACAAGACUAGAGUGUGGUAGGGGCAGAGGGAAUUCCCGGUGUAGCGGUGAAAUGCGUAGAUAUCGGGAAGAACACCAGUGGCGAAGGCGCUCUGCUGGGCCAUAACUGACGCUCAUGGACGAAAGCCAGGGGAGCGAAAG
Molecule: ribosomal RNA, 383 nt
Filed under: uncultured bacterium
Lineage: Bacteria
Description: bacterial SSU rRNA
Rfam family: Bacterial small subunit ribosomal RNA
Source: RNAcentral